This 8602-nucleotide long non-coding RNA is filed under the name Marmota monax (woodchuck). The record is from RNAcentral. Lineage: Eukaryota; Metazoa; Chordata; Mammalia; Rodentia; Sciuridae.
CGGAGCUCCCUCCCUCCUGGUGAGGACCUUCCCCGGAGCCCGCAGUUCGCGUCUCGCCGCCAGCCCCGCUGCACCACGGAAGGAGUCCCUCGCCUCGGCCACCCAGCCGAGUGCCUGAGCCACCACCUUCGGGCUCCACGCGUCCCGCUUUGCACAAUGGCCCAGCCCGGUCCCGCGCACUGAGAGCCGGGCCCUGGAGCGCUGCGGGGCGCUGUGCUGAGCGGCACGGCCCGAGCCCCUGGCGGUCCCCAAAGAGCUGCGGGGCGGGGGCAAGGAGGAGGAGGGGACCCGCGGCCAGAGGCUGGCCGCUCGCUUUCUUCAAGCGGACUUUUUGCCAAUGGUCCAAAGCGACAUGUCCAAGUCGCCUCCCACAGCGGCGGCGGCGGUGGCGCAGGAGAUCCAGAUGGAACUGCUGGACAACGCGGCUACCGCGGGGGCGCUUGGAGCACAGGUAGCGAGAGCGCGGCGCCUUCUUCCUUUGUGAGCCGCCCGGGCGCCGACCUCCGUUUCUCUCCGCGCCUCCGCUACAGCGAUCGCCCUGGUCUCUUGGCCACCUCCUCUUCCCCUCGCCAUUUGCCACCCACUUCUCUUUGCGCCUUUCCCUGGCUCUUCGGCUUCCAUUUUUCUCUGCUUGUGAAUAGCAAGUGGGAAGGGGCGGGGGAGACCUGCCGGUCCUCCCCGGCUUCUCCCGGGCCGCUCUGCUCGGCUCUCCUCGCCCCUUCCCGGGAGAGGCACAUGGAGAGACAUGAACCAGGCGAGUGGACUGGACCUGCUCAAGAUCGUGAGUCCGAGUGGGCGGAAGGGGUCCCAGCUUCCCGCAGCGCUUUCUCCGAUGCUGACCCUUUGGUCCAGCUCGGAGCGGGGGUGGAACUGGAGGUGUGUGUGAUGGGGGAGGAUGUGGGUGGGGGACCUUGCUGGGCGCCCUGGGAGCAGCGCCGACCACCCUCAGCACCUGGGGUGUUCCCUCGCCCCGACCACUCAGUUAUCCCCAGUGGCAGUUGCCAAAGCUUGCCGAGACCCCUUGUUCCUUUCCCUUAAGGACAGAGUUAGGGAAAAGAAAGUUUUCAUUUUGCGAUUUCCCUUGUAAUGUUAGCUCUAGCUCUUUCAGGGAGCUCCCGGAUCCCCUUCCUCUCUGCUGAGUAUUUUCGGUUUCUGGAAAAAUUCUGCUUCUCUGCUCAUUGUGAAAUAAGAGAUGUCAAUUGUAGGCGUUGGGCAAUGAUAAGGUGGCUUUUACGUAAGGCUUUGGCAGGUACAGUUUGGAUUACUGACACCUCCAGAUCUCAACGGUAAAGAGUCUCUCAACUUUUAUCCUAGCAGGGAAAUGACUUACUCCUAGCUGUGGGCUGGUUGGCCAGUGCUAUUGAAGAGAUUAGGGGUACUUUGCAAGCAUCUUUCUGGAGAAAUGUCUGUUUAAUGACACUGGCUUGUUGGUGUCAAUCCUAUAUUAGCCAGAUUGUAAAUUGUAGUAAGAUACAUGGGUGUGGGUAUGAGAGCGUGUGUGUAUACACACAUAAAAUACAUGAGAGAUCAUGUAAGGGGGUCACUGUGGUAGUGAGGUGGGAGUGAGCCAUUCUAAUAAAGGUUGCACAUGUUUCUCUGCUGUUGUUAUUUUGAUGGGUGGAAAUUGGCUGCUGGAGGUAUUUUGAUACUGUAAUAAUAAUUCCAAAUGGCAUAAUAGUCCAGCUUUAUUGAAUUUUCUUUGACUACUGGGAAAUAAAUGUACUAACUUAGAACACAUAAUUUACUUUGAGCUGGGGGAAGAAUGUAGAAACUAAAGACUUGUAUAAUAAAAGAUACAUUUCUUUUGUAGUAGUAAAAUAGCAAGAUUUUAGUUCACCCUGGGCUGCUUAACUUCACCAGCAAUGUGGGGAUGUGUAACUAGCUGUGUUCUUUUCUAAUCUCUGCCAGAAGAUCUGAUUCUAACUCCUACACUUCCCAUUUGUUUUAGACUCCUGAUUUGAUCUAGAUGCUUGCCAGGUUAGAUGAGAAUGAAAAAUGUACUCAGAGACCUUGGUUAUUCUAGGAUGAAGGUCUUGAAUAUUGAUAGAGGAAGGGACUUUAAAAGUCUCUUUUCUCUUUGAUCUUCCUUGAGGGAUUUUUUUUUUUUUUUAAGAAAAGUCUUCAUAUGAUUAAAAACAGUUCCUAAAUUAUUGGAGAUCAAAGUCAGGUCUGACACAAAGCAUAACUGCAUUCAGAUAAGAGGUAAUUUGCUUAGUGGUUUAUAUAAUUAAACAUUAGUCAACAAAUAUUUAUUGUACAGCUGCAAUGUGGAAAUGAUUCAUGAUUUCUGCCAUCAAAAACUUAAAUUUCCAGUAGCUGGAAGUAUGACAAAUGUAUAGCAAGUAUAUGUCAGGGGCCCGUUAGAGAAUAUUAUGAGGUUUAAAAGGUAUAAAAGUCACUAGUAUUUUAUAUUGAAUAAUCCAUAAGGACCUCAUAGAAGAGGAGGCAUUUAAAAAGAAAUUUGAAGGGUGGGUGAGAUUUCAACACAUUUGGAGAUAGUAGGGAGCCAUAUGUGAAGCAAUCACACAAGUUAGAAGUCACCUUCAUAGCAUACUUUUAUAAUCCCUAGUUUGAAAAGAGUGUGGAAGGGUACAGAUUGAGUAUGGUUAAGCCUCAGACUAAGAAGACAAUUGGAGGCUAUAAUUUGGAGGCCAGAACAUUUAGUGUAUUGAAUAAUAGAGAUCUGUAGAAGGGGUUCAGAAAGGCAGCCAUUUAACAGAUCAUUGAAAAGAUCCACCUGGGAAUGUUAGGAUAGUUUGGAGCACAGAAAGGCAGCUGCCAGGAAAAAAAAAAAAUGAUGUAACAGUUUGGGCAAGAGGUAAUGCAGCCUAAACUAAAGAGAAAAAAAAAAAAAAGAUUACAAAUGUUGUCAGGUCUUCACACUAGACAUUUCAAAGAUACAUCCACAGGAGAAAGGAAUGGAUUUCGUAUCGCAGGUGAGGUAUAAAUCCUGAAUGUCAAUAGCAUCUCUCUUUGCUUUCUUUGCCUUCCAAAAAAUGAAAUCAAUUUUUGCUUGAAUUGUGUUCACGUGACAUCCAUUAUUAGAGGGUAACAUUGCCCUGUUUAUUUUAUAUCUGAUUAAUCAUGGCAUCAUAGGGCUUGUGUGAAACUUGGCAAAGCUAUUCAUUCUGUGCCUCUAGUGGGCACAACAGACCAGCUGUCAAACCACCUGAGAAAGGACACUAUCUUCAGAGCAUCCCCCUUUUCUUGUGGCACUGAGUAAUAGUAAUUCCACCCAGAAAUAGAACUACCAUUUGCAAACAGAACCUGUAAGCAUUGGUUUUCAGAAACUUUUCCCCUUCACCUCAGGAUUAUAUUACAAGUUUCAUAUGAACAAAGUAAAUGAUGUAGAUUCAUAAUCUUUGCAGUUAUUUGUUUAUUUUUUUGUAUCAAUAAUACUGCUUAGUGGGACAAACACCUUCUUAUGUUCCAAGCCCUUCCCCCAGCAUGCUGUCAUAAGCAAAAUGGAUGCAUUUAACAAAAAUGGAAUGGCCAUCUAACUGCAAGCUCUUGAAGGUUUUGAUUUAAGCCAAUUGCUCUGCUUUUUCAGUAACCUGUUGAACAGUUCUGGUGCAAACUUGAGUGGUCUCUAUCUUCAAAGUCAAGGUGCUCACGUAGGACUCUCCAAGCUCCAAGUCCACAUCACCUAUUAUAGUACCUGUUGGCUACGUGUGGCUUUUUGAGCACUUGAAAUAUAAUCUGAAUUGAGAGAUGAAAUAUGCACAUCCAAAGACAAUAUGAAAUAAAUAGAACAUACCUUCAUCAAUAACAUAAAUUGGUUACAUGUUGAAACAAUGAAUUUUGAGUAUGUUGGGUUAAAUAAUGUGCAUCAUCAUAAUUAAGUUACCCAGUUGUUGUUUGCAUUUUUAAUGCAGCUACUAGAAAAUGUUGAAUAGGUAGGUGGCUCAUAUUAUCAUUGCCAUUGGACAGUGUUACUCUAAAGUAUGGAACUGGUCAUUCUCUAGGGAGUGGAAUAGCUCCUGGGUGGAUGAGAAGCAAGUGACUGGGAUUGGAAAUUGUCUGGUGACAGAAGAGGAAAUGGAUGAGAACCAAGAGCAGUAGCUCAGUAAUGUAGGCCUCAGAGAUUGUAACCAGCAACUCCAGUCACACCUGAAAAUGAACAGGCAGUAAGCAGAGGGCCUGUUUGUUUUGCUCCUAGCAACACAUCCCAGCUGGUUCCACCCAGGCCCAGUUUGCCAGAUGCUUUGCAAGCAGAUUGGAGGACUAAGGCCUGGUAAUGACUACAUUCCGAUCGGCUGUAGUGAGGGGCUUUAUCAAAAAAAGAGCAGCAGCCUUUUCCCUGUGGCUUUGAAACCAAGUCAGCACUCUCUUCCAGAAACAUUCGUAGGUCCCUGUUACAAAUUUGUCUUCUGCUUUCUUCAAACGUAGUGGUCAUGGGUCCUGUGAUUUAUGUUUUGCUAAAACCUUCAUUCCUAACCACUGGUCAUUUUCAUUCUGAGUGGUAUUUUUGUUCUGGAGUUGCAUGGGAGAAAUUUAAAAACAUGCCAAUCAAUUUCUGUGGGUGUUUAAAUUUGAAAUGUAGUAUCCGGUUGAUUUGAGGAGUAGUUGUUCUGGUAGUUCUAUGCUUUUGUUAUUAUAUAAAAACUUAGUGUACCCUUACAAUUCCAACAAGUUAAAUAUGCAAUCAGUGGGUAACUUUGGUCCUCUCAAGAAAAGGUUAGUGGAAUCUGUUAACCCUGUAAGGGAGGGUGGAACUCUUCAAUUUGUCACUGGAAGACAUGUCUGUAUCUUACAGAGAGUAUAUGGCAAACACCACAUAAUUACUUUAAAACUACGAAGGGUUAAAAUUAAGGUACUACUAAAAAGAGCAGUGCAUGGCAGGAGGUAGACUGAUAAUGAGGGUCCCUGGCCACCUCCUGUCCUCCUCCCUAGGUAAACUUGCAGACCUAAUCCUUCCUCCCUCCUCCAUGUGCCUUACCCACAAAGACCUGUGCUAAUGUUGCUUCCUGAUUUCUUUCUGAUUUUGUGUGAACAGACCCAUACAAAAGCCAACUUCUUAUCUUUCCCCCUUUCUAGGGAAGUCACCUCAGCUAUUUCCCUCCUAGUAAAGGACUGGCAGCCUUGCUCACUUUAAGCUUUUGGUAAAUGAGAUUUACCAAAAUGAGAUGACUCUGGGUAGUUUUGGUUUUGUUUGCUUUGAUCCAUAAAAUGAGGAAAAUGAAAUUCAAAGGGAUAAACAUCAAUGAAUAUGAAUGGAGAGGAAUAAAAACUAACUUUAGGCAUCAGCACUCUGCUCAUGGGGAGCAACUUGUUGUAGGCAGGAAAAUGUCACUGUAUGUAGCCAUGGAACACAGAACCAGCAUCAAUCUUAUACCUGUCCCCCUGGGGCUGCCAUGGCAACUUUAUGUGCCCUGCUGAAAUCUGCAGUUAACUGAAAACGUAAAAUUACUACUGUCUCCUUUGAUUAUUCAGAAAUUAGAUUUUAAUUACCUCUGAAAACAUGAACAUUCAUUUGCUGAAUAAAAUCCAUUCCUCUGUUUCUCCUCACUCUCCUGUAUCUAGUAGAGUCCAUGUUUAAAUGCUGUUCGGUGUCAAGAUGUUCAUACUAAGCUGCUAUUGACAUGAUGGAUUUUGAACAUAAUAUAUUUGUGGAAGUUUCAGGAAAUUUUUUUGUUUCUGAAAUCUUGGUUUGGCAUUUUAGGACAACUAAAGGAUUUUAGACAUUUUUCCCCCUUUUUACUAUAGUGACAAAAUUUGUUUUAUUAAGAUCCAUACAGUUAAUUGGCAAUGAGUAGGAAAUGGUCACCUUCUGGGUUGUUCCGAGAAGGACCUGGGGAUCUGCACAUGCCAGGGAGAAUCUAUAGGUAACACCAUCCUGUGGCCAAACUCCUGUCUUUUCUCCCUCUUUGGUCUGGUACCCAGAGCUAUUCUAAUGGAUGACUGUUUUAGUACUGGGUAUUCAUAACUAUUGCUAAUUAUUUUUAAAGAAAAACCAUUGUUCAUACAGGUAACUGUAUUUGAAGGGGAAAAUUAAGAAAACUAUGCUUCUUUCUUAAAUAUAGCCAACUAAAUAUUUGAACACUUAAUCUUACCUGUCUCUUUCCAUUUUGGGGAGGUUUCUCUUUUACCUUUUUUCUAUAUUCUUCAGAAGAAAUACUCUAGUCCUUCCUUUCAAAGAUUCAGAGUAAUGGGAAAAUGUUAUUUCAGCAAGAUGAACUUGAUUUUUAAAUAUGCAUCGGAUGAAAGGAAGUCUAAUUUUGUAAUGGCAGUAUAAAUUUUCAAUAACAUUUUUAAAGUACAUAAAAAUAGACCAUUAGCUUUCCAGAGAUGCUUUGUUUAUUUAUCCUGAUUUUCUAAAAAAUAAAAAAGUCAGUGAGUAGUUACUGUACAAUUAAAAAAGAAGGAACAUUUUAAUAGAGAAAUUAUGCUGAAUUGAGUAAAACGGAAUUGAGUUGACUUUUAAUAUAUAAUGAAUAGGAAUUUUCUAUAACACUAUUAUGAGCAAGUUAAUAGUAUAAGUCAUAUUCAAGCAUUCAAAGUGACUCAAGGACAAUAUAUUUUCAAAAUUGUCACCAGUUUGUGCUUCAGUGUGUUCUCAUUUUCUAGUAGGCAAACUGUGUUUAGGACAGUUAAACUAUUAAUUCCAUCUUUAUAUUGCAUAAGUAGCUAAGUGCACCUGAAAUAUUGUUUGCUAACAGUAUCCCCAGCGGUCUGGAAAAAUUAAUGUGAAAAUGUGCCCAACUGCUUGCACAGAACAGCCACCUCUGGGACUGAAUGUCUUCAGCAUUGUGUGGCUCUCACAGUGCAUAUUGUGUAAUUAUGAGCAGCCAUGAAAAAGCUGGAGACACCCAAGCAGCUGAACAGUAAAAUAGUUAUGGUUAAAAAGCUGAAAUAACAAAACAGCAAAGACUCUUCUCCUAUUUCAAAAUGGUCCCAGAAGGAAAAAGGAUACAAAGUGGUAUUUUCUUUGCUCUCAAAAAUAAUUGCUCUUCCUCAUGAAGACAGUAUAUUUCACAUAGAUUGUCCCCAACCCUCCCAUAAGAAACAUGUUAGGCAUUAACAAUGCUUUCAAGAUAAUAGGCAUUUUUAUAUCUGGAAUAAUGUAAAUUUUAAAAAAUAAUUUUAAGGAGAUUCAUACCUGAUUUUUGCCUUCUUAGGCCUUGUCAGAUACUUCUGUCUAACCCUUUACAUAAUAAUUGGAAAAGGAAGAGCAUAGUUAAAAGAAUGUUAUUUUUCAACAGUUUACUGAGUAAUGUUUAUGUAAGAAAGAAGAAUAAGCUGUGAAGUGAGAAGAGCCUUGUAUAUUACAUUAUGAAAGCCCAGCCUAGCUUGUCUUUCCUUUUAUGAAGUUCAGAGUUAAUUAAAUGUCAUGGAAACACAUUUGUAUUACAUAAAUCCCUUAGAUCCUUAGAAGAGAACAAACAUAUUUAAGAAAAACUUUUGCUUUAAUAUUACACGACCCUCUCACUGAUUGCAAAUUUACCUAAAUUUCUCAUAACAAAAUGUUUAGAUUUAAGCUUGCUUAAGUUGCUAUGUAUAUUUUGGGUUAUAUUUUUGUUUUUUAUUUUUGGGGGUAUCAGGAAUUGAAGUCAAGGGUAUUCAACCACUGAGCCACAUCCCCAGCCCUAUUUUGUAUUUUAUUUAGAGACAGGGUCUCACUGAGUUGCUUAGCAGUUUGCUGUUGCUGAGGCUGGCUUUGAACUCAGGAUCCUCCUGCUUCAACCUCCAGUGCCUCAGGGAUUAUAGGCGUGUACUACUGCACCUGGCUAUAUUUUUACUUUAAUGAAAACCUUAUUACUUUAUAACUAGAACAUGAGUGUGUAUUGGGAUAAUUCAGUGAUGCUAUGAGUCUAAUAAUUGCCAUUAUAUUAUAUUCUUUAGCCCAAUCUGUCCCCUUACUUUCCAGCCUUCAUGUGGGAUUGCUUUUCAUAUAUUAUUCUGAACCUUCACCAUGUACUAGAUGUUGUUCUAAAUGUUAUAAAUACAUUAUUUUAGUUAUUACUUAAAACAGCCCCAUUUUAAAGAUGAGAAAAAUGAUGCUUGCAAAGGUUAAAUUUGCUCAAGGUCUUCUAUAGGCAGGAUUUUCAUGUAUGUAUUUUUAACUCUAAAGCUCGGCAUUGGACAAUUUUUCAUUUGUUUUAAUAUUUAAUAUUUGCAAUAAAUUUAUGCUUGGAAUUACACAUAGAUUGACAUAGUGUAUUUUCAGAGCUCAAAUGUAAACUGUAGAUAUAAUAGAAAAAGCAAGUUCAUUUGUAGAUGUCUGUGUUCAGCUGGAUCCUAUUGUUGAAACAAAUCAUCUUUAAUGUCUUAAAUGCUUAUUUUUAAAUGCUUUAUCUUUAGCAUCUUUUGCUACUCAGAUGCUAAGGUAUUUGCAGAUAGUGUAAAUUGUUUCUGUUCAUUAAUUAUUAAAUGUUUUGUCUAGAAAUUAUUAAAUGUUUUCCCCCAUAUACUUAUCAGAAAUUUUUGUGAUUUCACCAAUACUAAUCUUCCAUUUGCACAUUUAAUGGCAGUUUCUUACUUGUUUUGGCCUUUGAUAUUUUCUAGAACUAGGCCUAGAUUCCUGUAAAAGGGCUUAAUAAUAACCUCAUUUUUUUUUUUUUUUUUGGUAGUCAUAUGGAAAAGGAGCCAGAAGGAAAAACAG